AAAAAAAAAAGUUCUCAGAUUUCCAAAAAAAAAAAGCUUCGAAGGAGGAAAAUGGCGGAUCAGCUGACCGAUGACCAGAUCUCAGAGUUCAAGGAAGCUUUCAGCCUCUUCGACAAGGAUGGCGAUGGUAUAUCUUCCUCUCUCAGAUCUAGAUGGUGUUUGUUGUUUUGCUUCCUCGUGUUUCAAUCUAGAUCUUAAGUUCUGUGACGAUCUCUUGUUGGAUCGUACCGAUGUAUCUGUAUUUUGCGAUUGACUUGUUGAUUUGAGAUGAAAAGGAGAUCCGAUUUGAUGUUUCCAACGUUCGUUGAUUGAUACAUUUUUUUUAGGGAGAGUUAAAAAAGAUUGUUUGUUUCUUUGUGGUUUUUGCAGGUUGCAUCACCACCAAGGAGCUCGGAACCGUGAUGAGGUCUCUGGGGCAAAACCCGACAGAAGCCGAGCUGCAAGACAUGAUCAACGAAGUUGACGCUGACGGGAACGGGACCAUUGACUUCCCUGAGUUCCUGAACCUGAUGGCGAGGAAGAUGAAGGACACUGACUCGGAGGAAGAGCUCAAGGAAGCGUUCAGGGUGUUUGAUAAGGACCAGAACGGUUUCAUCUCCGCGGCUGAGCUUCGACAUGUGAUGACUAACCUUGGGGAGAAGCUGACCGAUGAGGAAGUUGAUGAGAUGAUCCGUGAGGCUGAUGUUGAUGGCGAUGGGCAGAUCAACUACGAUGAGUUCGUUAAAGUCAUGAUGGCUAAGUGAUCUCAUCCUAUUCAUAAAAAGAGAACGAUUUAUGAUGAUGUCUUGACAGUGAAUGGUUGCGACAUGUUUCGUCUGUUAUUUGUCUUUUGUCUUUGCUUUUGGUUAGUGUUAUGUGAAGUAUGAACUCAUGGUUUGCAUAUCCUUUGACAAUUUGAUAUUCUCUCGUUUUUUUUAUUAUUGUUUGUUUUCGUCUCUGUUAUUUCUCUUCAGUGAAUGCGUUUUCUUGCCCUUGAGUUUGGCUCCAUCUCUAAAGCAGAACAUGUCUAGAUGAAUUUGCACAACACUAAUAAAGUGUCUGGUUGCUAGCAUAUAAUAAGCUUGUUAUUAGCAAUGAAGUGUAAUUACAGUUACAAAAACGUAAAAAAAUAGGGUUUUGUUUGUUACAUUGAGAAGCUUUAUACAUAUAGCAAAGUUGUGCACUCACUCACUAAUCACUAUGAACAAAGGACAAGUUCUCACAGAGUUUAGAAAUGAAGGAAAAAAAAAACACAAUGUGGCAUUGGAUUUGGAUUUUAAGUUUAACGUGUGAGCGGUUUGUAGAGGACAACAGUUAUGUACUUAGACUCGAACCUGUGAGUUAAACCCAAAGCUACAAUGGAUUGAGGGCUCCAUCCUUGCUCUAUAAACACAUGGUUAAGCACCACAUGCUGAGGCUUUGUGGCUUUGCCUGUUUCUUCACUAGUGUCCACAAGUGUUAGACGAAGCUGAGGUGGCACCGCGAGUGGAUCCUUUGUGUAAUCCUCUGCUGUUGGGAGAGUUUGUCCGUAGCUAUGAUCAGGUGACGGUGGCGCCUCAAACUCAGCUAUGCUUUCAGGGUUUUCUGGCACAAAGUUCUGCAUAAUUGAUUGGAGGAGAUACUAUUUUAUUACAAACUGCAGAUUGACUAAUAGGAGCAUGGGGGAAAAGUUACUUACAUGAACAUCGAGAAUGUUACAGACAUUGCCCAUUUCGUCUGAUACAAAGGGUAACUCCGGGAUGUGUUUGCUUUCACCAUCGACGAUCACCUUGUAAUGGUAUAUGCCAGAUGGAAGGACAAAGAGAAUUGAGUGGUCUUUUCCAGAUUUCUCCAGCUUCUUCCUGAGGAAUGUAAAGUAUCUAUACGUUUAGUAAAUGUAUAUGGCUUGGGAGGAAGCUAUUAAGAAACAAAUUAACGUAUACCUUGAUCUCCAGUUGUCCCAUGAUCCUUCCACGGCCACUUCAUUACCUCCCUGGUUCCAUGUAAUGAUAAUAGGGAUUCCUUGCUCUUCGGGAUGAUCAGAAACUCUUUGAGAUUGGUUCCACUGGAUUUUAUUAGGCGAAGGAGGGGCGUUUAUUGUCCUCUGCAAUGGAGCCACUGGAACCUGAUCAUAAAAGUUUAGCCGUGAGAAUUUUCAAAGCAAAUGCGAGAAGAAUUUGCUAUACGAAAUUCAAAUGUUAUGCCUAAACAAUGAAAAAGGUGACGCUUAAUUGAGCCAAUAGUGUAAGAAGAUUAAAUUUUCAAAAGGUUUCUCUCGUCAUUGCCGUUAUCUAUUUAUUCUCACACAUAAAGAACAACGAGAAGAAUGAAGAAUUAACCACAAUGUCUAAUUCGUUCAAGUAAAUUCAAGCUCUGCGUGUUUAAAUUCAAAAACGGCUCAGAAAUUAACAAGCUUGCCUACCCCCUUCAAAAGGAACAUUACAGAACAGACCAGCAUCUGGUAAUGACCAGAGAGAAGCAAGGAAAUCAAAGUCAACAUAAAACUUUUUCCACACUAGGCAUUGCAUAAACAAGACAAGACAAUAAGAACCUUCUCCAAAUAAGAUUCUGCAUCGUGACCAAAGAAAAGGCAUAGCAAAUAAGAUAAACUAAGCAUCUCCCUCAUCUAGAAAGAAGGAAAAAAAAAAACUUACUAAACUUUUCAUUUACCAGAGAUUUUGACAAAAGAAAAAAAAAAGAUUUCACUAAAAAAUAUGCCAAGUCUCAAUGGAACCUAGACCUCUUCACAAUGGAACCAGAGAUACAUUACACAAAGACUCAACCAUCAUGAGAGGAGUUGAAGUCCCCUUUCUCCUAUCCAACGAGAGAAUAAGAAUGUGGAAAAUCUAGUUCGCAUUCAACCAAAGGUUCAACGAUGUUUUAUCAUCCAAAAUCUAACAUUAAAUACAUUGAUAAACACGUGAGGAGUGCAGAGAGGGACGAGAAACCUGAGGAGCGAAUAAGAAAGGAGAAGGAGAUCGAGCUGGGCUGCCGGGAGGAGAACUGCUCAUAGAGUCUGAGGAAGGACGGCCAGGUCCAUGACGAGUGCGGGAGGAAGGAUCACCGCCGUUGGCAUCUGCGUCUACGUUAGAGACGGCGUCGUCUUCUUUGCCGUUCGCAUUUCCCAUCUUCAAACCCAAAUCAUAGAAGCAAGAGAAACAAAGAGGAGAGAGAGAGAGAGAGAGAGAGAGAGAGAAAGAGAAGCAGACGUGAAGAAAAGUGGAGGGAGGACGAAGAGUGGGAGAUAGGUAAAUGGACCCCAGUGAUCACCUUUAAUUACGUGAAUUGCCAUUGGUGACAUUCAAAUGGAUAAACGAGUGACUUGGCAUCUAGAAAGUAGAUAAUGAUCAUCCUCUUUUUUUAUUUUUUUAUAAUCUUGUAUUAUCGCAAUCAAUCAUCAGAAGUCCAUAAUAGUGGUAAAUACGAGUUUAUAUCCAUGUAAAUUUUGAAAGUAAUGAUACUUAUAAAUAGAAACUUUUGGUAGAAUAUAGUUAAAAUGAGCAUUAUAAAUGUGGUUAGUAUGCAUUUUGUUUUCACUGUUGACCAACAGGCAACAGUUGUGAUGUUUGAAACGUGCGUUCAACUAUAUGUGGCACAUAUUUAGAAUGGGCUGGUUUUAUUUUUUAUUUUGGCAAAAAUGGGCUGGUUUUAUGUUAUUAUAGUUUUGAUUAAGCAGAGGUUAGGAUUGGUUUCUGGUGGAUACUAUCAUGGUUUAACUUCAAAUAUAACUUGGCCUAAUGAAACCUGUACUAAAUGGCUGCAACUGUUCGCCAUUAACAAUCAUACACUUUCCAAGUAUUUCUCUUUACAAUACCUAUAAUUAGGGAUGUUAACUUAGGGUAAAAUAACCCAGCCCAGCCCAACCCACAAAUAACCCAACCCAGUUUAUACCCAACCUGUAAAAACCCAGAAACAUCAAAGUUGAAAUCCAAACCCAAAAAAUAACCCAAUAGGGUAUAGGUUUACCCAUGGGUACCCAAAGUAUUAUCUUAUUUAUUCUAAAAAUAUCAUAUAAAAUAUUAAUAUCAUUAAUGUCAGUUUUAAUAUAUAAACAAGAUUUCACAAUUUUAUAAAAAAACUUGUUUUGGCGCAAAAACUCGUUUACGAUUUUGGCGGGAAAACCCGUUUUCGAUUUUGACGAGAAAAUCGGUUUUGCGGUUUCGGCAGGAAAAUUCGAUUUUCCGGUUUUGGCGGGAAAACUCAUUUUGUGAUUUUGGCGGGAAAACUCGAUUUUGCGAUUUUGUCGGAAAAACUUGCUUUACGUUUUUGGCGGAAAAACUCGUUUUUGCGAUUUCGGCGGGAAAACUCGUUUUUCGGUUUCGGCGGGAAAACUUGGUUUUUUGGUUUCGGCAGGAAAACUCGUUUUGCGGUUUUGGCAGGAAAUUUGGGUUUUGCGGUUUUGGCGGAAAAUUUGGGUUUUGCGGUUUUGGCGGAAAAACUUGUUUUUGCGGUUUUGGCAAGAAAACUCAGUUUUACGGUUUUGGCGGGAAAACUCGGUUUUGCGGUUUUCAGUCGGAAAACUCGAUUUUAAGGUUUUGGCGGAAAACUCGGUUUUGAGGUUUUGGCGGGAAAAUUCGGGUUUGCGGUUUUGGCGGGAAAACUCGAUUUUGCGGUUUUCAGUCGGAAAACUCGGUUUUGCGGUUUUCAGUCGGAAAACUCGAUUUUAAGGUUUUGGCGGAAAACUCGGUUUUGAGGUUUUGGCGGGAAAAUUCGGUUUUGCGGUUUUCCGAGAACACUCGGUUUUGCGGUUUUGACAGAAAAACUUGGUUUUAUGAUUUUGGCGGAAAAACUCGGUUUUGCGGUUUUGACAGGAAAACUCGAUUUUUCGGUUUCAGCGGGAAAACUCAUAUUUUGGUUUCUGUGAGAUAAUUUAUUUUUACGGUUUUGGCGGAAAAAACGUUUUUUGCAAAUUUUAUAUAAUUUAAUUAAAAUGGUGAAAAUAUAAUAAUAUAACUGAAAACCCAUGGGUACACCAUUACCCUUUUAUAUUUACCCAAUAUAAAUAUGGGUUUCAAAAUUAAUACCCAUAAUCGACCCAAUAAAUCUUAAACGGGUAAAAACCCAACCCAUUAUUAGUGGGUUUGGGUAAACCCAUGGAUAAUUACCCAUGUUAACAUCCCUACCUAUAAUGGUUAGCAUUGGUGAUUGAUCGACGAGGUCAUAAAUAACAAAAAUUAAGAAGAUAUAAAACUGUAUCUCUUUACAAGAGCAAAGAGUAACUUACCAAAGUUUUAUCAACAUACCUACCAACUGGAGUCAACUUUCAAGUUGUAAGACUUUUCGUUUGAUUCAACUUCAAACAAACACAUGUGACAUCAUUGGUGCUUUUCAGUUUUCAGUAUCUUGGAAAUUUUUGAUUUCACACACCCAUGCUUAUCUAUAUAGACAUUCACUAGAAAUCUGUUCAAACUCUUAUUAAGCGAGCUAUAAAUUCCCCAUUGACCUGAACUUUGAUGCAGUGUGAAACGUCUUCCGGAGAGAUAAAUUAUCGAUUUUGUAUAUUAUUUUUUUUAAAAGAUAUUACUAAUAUUUUCCUUGGAAUUUCUUUAUCUUCUAAUCAAGACAUAUUCAAAACCAAAUUAACUGCAUUUGAUUUAUUCCGAAACAGUAUGAAAGUUUCACUUCAGUUACUAAAAGCAUAUUAUCAUAAAUAAACAAGAAAUAUAGAGUUAUUUUGUUUCAUAAAAAAAUAGAGCAAAUAAAUUAAUCAUGUAUUGAAAAAUAAACUUACGUUUGUGCAAAAUAUUUCUGUUAGGAAUACUAUAUUAAUCACAUGCCAGAUGUUUGGACGUGAUCACAAUUAAUAUUUGAAUAAUAUAUCCAGUAAAAUUUAAGUUUGCUGGUUUUUAUUUUCAUAAUAUAAAAUCUUAAGUAGACUUAUUUGAUAUGGGUGUUUUUUUUAAAAAAAAAUUUGAUUAUGUCGUUUAGAGUCAUUUUAAUGCUUUUUUCAUGAAUGCUAGCUAAAAUGUUUUUUUUUUCAUUUUAAUGCUUUUUAAUGACUCUAAACGACAUUUUAAUGCUUAUUUUUUUCAUGAAUGCUAGCUAAAAUGCUGGGGGUUAAAAGUUUUUUUUGUUUCCGUUUCCAGUCAACUAAUAAAUUUAAAAUUGUUGUCAUACUAAAGAACAAUGAGAUUGCAUGUCCAAGAAACAAAAUAAAUAUGACAUUAAAUGUACAAUUAAAUAUCAAUUAAAUAUACCGUCAUGAAAAAGAAGAAUGCAUUUUCUAUUAAAAUUGCAAAAAGGAUAAUAAUUGAAUUAAAAAGAAUAGUGUAGUGGAACUAGGGUUUUGCCGUUAAGUGUUUCACGGUAUUACUCUUAAAAGCGCCACCCAAAACACACCCACACUCCCUCCUUUGCAUACUUUUUUGCUUCCCGGCUCUCUCUUUUUAUCACAUUGCCUCUGAUCCAAUUCAAUCGAGCUUUCUGAUCAUGGCGGAGACUGAGAGAUCAUUAGCCGAUGAUCGCGAAAUGAUCGGCCACGUCACUGGCUCCGAGACUAAGUCUCCGUGGAAAACAGCUCCGAUAGAGCCCGCCGACGCACCGGUAAUGGGUGCUCACUCGUGGCCUGCCCUCGCCGACGCGCAACAACCCCGUCCUAAGAAUCCUCCUCCUCCGGCGGCGGCGGCUAAAUCCAUUCCGACCUCAAUCCCAAAUCAUUCUCAGGUCAUUCAAUAAACCUAUCGUUAAUGUAAUUGGAUCAUAGCUUUGCGAAACUUGAUCGAACU
Molecule: long non-coding RNA, 6683 nt
Filed under: Brassica napus (rape)
Lineage: Eukaryota; Viridiplantae; Streptophyta; Magnoliopsida; Brassicales; Brassicaceae
Description: long non-coding RNA (BNAP_LNC007259)
Source: RNAcentral